UGCGGCGAAGAAGAAGGAAGAAGAAGAAGAAACCA
RNAcentral lists this small RNA (35 nucleotides) under Arabidopsis thaliana (thale cress). RNAcentral describes it as "ATSL080180". The record is from RNAcentral. Lineage: Eukaryota; Viridiplantae; Streptophyta; Magnoliopsida; Brassicales; Brassicaceae.